RNAcentral lists this transfer RNA (74 nucleotides) under Alphaproteobacteria bacterium. RNAcentral describes it as "tRNA-Cys". It matches the Rfam family "tRNA". Rfam says of the family: Transfer RNA (tRNA) molecules are approximately 80 nucleotides in length. Their secondary structure includes four short double-helical elements and three loops (D, anti-codon, and T loops). Further hydrogen bonds mediate the characteristic L-shaped molecular structure. tRNAs have two regions of fundamental functional importance: the anti-codon, which is responsible for specific mRNA codon recognition, and the 3' end, to which the tRNAs corresponding amino acid is attached (by aminoacyl-tRNA synthetases). tRNAs cope with the degeneracy of the genetic code in two manners: having more than one tRNA (with a specific anti-codon) for a particular amino acid; and 'wobble' base-pairing, i.e. permitting non-standard base-pairing at the 3rd anti-codon position. The record is from RNAcentral. RNAcentral also lists the same sequence under 1 other name. Lineage: Bacteria; Pseudomonadati; Pseudomonadota; Alphaproteobacteria.
GGCCGGAUGGCAGAGUGGUUAUGCAGAGGACUGCAAAUCCUCGUAGACCGGUUCGAUUCCGGUUCCGGCCUCCA